This 22-nucleotide small nuclear RNA is filed under the name Arabidopsis thaliana (thale cress). RNAcentral's name for it is "snRNA_02943". The record is from RNAcentral. Lineage: Eukaryota; Viridiplantae; Streptophyta; Magnoliopsida; Brassicales; Brassicaceae.
AGAGAGCCCAUAGAGAGGCUCU